RNAcentral lists this long non-coding RNA (273 nucleotides) under Brassica napus (rape). RNAcentral's name for it is "long non-coding RNA (BNAP_LNC000671)". Lineage: Eukaryota; Viridiplantae; Streptophyta; Magnoliopsida; Brassicales; Brassicaceae. The record is from RNAcentral.
GGAAGAAAAAAAUUAAAUGCGUUUGAUUGAAAUCAAUAGUUGCUAUAGUACUAAGUAGUUAGUAGGAGGAAGCAAACAAGCAUGGGUUCUGUUUUCACUUGUUCACUUACUUUUAAAGUCGCACUGCCAAACUCAUUACAGUUUCCAUGUUCUUUGUUUCAAAGGUUUGUCCGAUACUCUCUUCUUCAUAAUGAAACACUACAUAUGUAACGUAUAUACAAAAGCUCUUUAAGUGAUUAAAAUUGUUUGGAACAUGACCAUAUCCAUUAGUAA